UUGAACGCUGGCGGCAUGCCUUACACAUGCAAGUCGAACGGUAGAGGGGCAACCCUUGAGAGUGGCGAACGGGUGAGUAAUAUAUCGGAACGUGCCCAGUCGUGGGGGAUAACGCAGCGAAAGCUGCGCUAAUACCGCAUACGAUCUAUGGAUGAAAGCGGGGGAUCGCAAAGACCUCGCGCGAUUGGAGCGGCCGAUAUCAGAUUAGGUAGUUGGUGGGUAAAAGCCCACCAAGCCGACGAUCUGUAGCUG
Molecule: ribosomal RNA, 252 nt
Filed under: uncultured bacterium
Lineage: Bacteria
Description: partial 16S ribosomal RNA
Rfam family: Bacterial small subunit ribosomal RNA
Source: RNAcentral